GACGAACGCUGGCGGCGUGCCUAAUACAUGCAAGUUGAGCGAUGAAGAUUGGUGCUUGCCCCAAUUUGAAGAGCAGCGAACGGGUGAGUAACGCGUGGGGAAUCUGCCUUUGAGCGGGGGACAACAUUUGGAAACGAAUGCUAAUACCGCAUAACAACUUUAAACAUAAGUUUUAAGUUUGAAAGAUGCAAUUGCAUCACUCAAAGAUGAUCCCGCGUUGUAUUAGCUAGUUGGUGAGGUAAAGGCUCACCAAGGCGAUGAUACAUAGCCGACCUGAGAGGGUGAACGGCCAAAUUGGGACUGAGACACGGCCCAAACUCCUAAGGGAGGAAGCAGUAGGGAAUCUUCGGCAAUGGACGAAAGUCUGACCGGGCAACGCCGCGUUAGUGAAGAAGGGUUUCGGAUCGUAAAACUCUGUUGGUAGAGAAGAACGUUGGUGAGAGUGGAAAGCUCAUCAAGUGACGGUAACUACCCAGAAAGGGACGGCUAACUACGUG
RNAcentral lists this ribosomal RNA (497 nucleotides) under uncultured bacterium. RNAcentral's name for it is "partial 16S ribosomal RNA". It matches the Rfam family "Bacterial small subunit ribosomal RNA", at positions 28 to 507 of the family's 1533-position model. The record is from RNAcentral.